Molecule: ribosomal RNA, 460 nt
Filed under: uncultured bacterium
Lineage: Bacteria
Description: partial 16S ribosomal RNA
Rfam family: Bacterial small subunit ribosomal RNA
Source: RNAcentral
CCUACGGGUGGCAGCAGUGAGGAAUAUUGGUCAAUGGACGCGAGCCUGAACCAGCCAAGUAGCGUGAAGGAUGACUGCCCUCUGGGUUGUAAACUUCUUUUAUAAAGGAAUAAAAAGAGGCACGUGUGACUUUUUGCAUGUACUUUAUGAAUAAGGAUCGGCUAACUCCGUGCCAGCAGCCGCGGUAAUAUGGAGGUUCAGAGCGUUUUCCGGAUUUAUUGGGUUUAAAGGGAGCGUAGAUGGGUUGUUAAGUCAGUUGUGAAAGUUUGCGGCUCAACCGUAAAAUUGCAAUUGAUACUGGCAGUCUUGAGUACAGGUGAGGUAGGCGGAAUUCGUGGUGUAGCGGUGAAAUGCUUAGAUAUCACGAAGAACCCCGAUGGCGAAGGCAGCUUACUAAACUGUGACUGACAUUGAUGCGCGAAAGUGUGGGUAUCAAACAGGAUUAGAUACCCCAGUAGUC